RNAcentral lists this unclassified non-coding RNA (400 nucleotides) under uncultured fungus. Its description in RNAcentral is "sequence contains ITS1". The stretch from base 1 to 105 matches the Rfam family "5.8S ribosomal RNA", at positions 50 to 154 of the family's 154-position model. The record is from RNAcentral. Lineage: Eukaryota; Fungi.
GAAAUGCGAUACGUAAUGUGAAUUGCAGAAUUCAGUGAAUCAUCGAAUCUUUGAACGCAUAUUGCGCUCUUUGGUAUUCCGAAGAGCAUGCUUGUUUGAGUAUCAGUAAACACCUCAACCUCUCUUUUUGACAAAAAAAGGGAGGGUGGACUUGAGCUAUCCCAACGACCUUCACCGGUAGGCGGGCGGCUUGAAAUGCAGGUGCAGCUUGAAAUGCAGGUGCAGCUGGACUUUUAUCUGAGCUAAAAGCAUAUCUAUUUAGUCCUCGUCAAACAGGAUUAUUACUUUUGCUGCAGCUAACAUAAAGGAUAAUUGUCCUCUUUGCUGACUGAUGCAGGAUUUUACGACACUUUAUGUGUUGUUCAACUCGAUCUCAAAUCAAGUAAGACUACCCGCUGAA